CCGAGUUCAGCUCCGUCUGGUGCAGGCUAGUCCUACGUGCGCAGGCAGAGGCUCGGCUUGUCCCAGCACCGAGCGGGAAGUUGGAACCGGGCGUUGAGGGUUUAUUGGAGUGUACAUUGUGCCCUCUAGGAGGGGCUGCAGGUGGAGAACACAAAGGAGUUCUGGCACGGGAAGGAGUUUCUUAACCCUAAGACAAAGGGGAUGUGCACAGCAGGACGCAGACACAUGACAGAGAAACAUGAGCAGGAAAACACAGCUCCCAGCACUUACUGUGAUUUCUACCAAAAAGACAAACCAAGGCAUCAAAAAGCAUUCUGAAGGGCAAGUGUACAGAUGUCCUGGGCCUUGCCCCAGUUUGAUACAGGGCAGGAGAAUACUGGCUUUGUUCUCAAGGUGAGAGGAACUGGUUGUGGAUCUGGGCUUUGGAUUCAUUGGUUUCAAUAUGAAAUAUGUGCUCCCAAGCAAGCUGAUAACUCACCAGGGAGGGGGAAUGUGCCUCAGCCCACAAAAUAUCCACCCCGUAGUGUAUCUUAACAUACAGAAAUGAACCUCCUCACUAAUAAACUGGUCCUCUGAUAUUCACAUAUCACCCCUAAGAAUGAAGAACAUGGAAAAUUACAAUAAUAGUGUGUUACAUUGCUCUUAUGAGUACAGGAAAAAAUUCUGAAUAGGAAAAAGAAAUAUAACAAAGUCUGAGUAGUCUGCCUAAGCCAGGCCAUACCAAAGUUCUCCAUUACAUGGCACUGUUCAAUAAGACGUGUGUGAAAUUUUCAGACCUGAAAACCAAUUUAAAAUUAUAUUUCCAUAAUUAAGGUGAAAGUCUGGAGCUGUUUUUAGGGCAUAAACUCUACUGAGAUGAAUAUGAAAACAUGGUUUUCUUUGAAACAAAGGCAAAGGAGAUCACAAUGGACAGCUCGGGGGGAGCAGGAGGCCUGGAUGAAGCAUGCAGUCCUUGGCUCUGAGUGUCGCUGCCCGACUGACUCACAGCCAGUGGCUCCUGAGGACCAACAAUUUCUUUCAUAUCAACUUUUGAGAUGGCACAGAUCCCAGUAAUCUGGCUUUUCUAUAGGCCUGGAGUAUACAGCUGAACGUGACGGCUGAUGUUAUACUGGAAUUACGGGCUAGGUCAACAGCAAACUCAGGCACACAACCCAUUCUCAAAUGCCUAAGUACAAAACGUGAGUCUAGUGUAGUCUGGCCAUGGGCAUCGAUACAGAGGAGGUUCUGAUGAUCUUAUGAACUCACCUCCAGUGAAAAUAGGAAGUCAUAUCCAGUGGUGAGGUCUUGGAGUUGGGGGGCAUCUUCCCCAGCAGUAAGCCUCUCAGGCAGAAUACGUGGGCUCUGAAACUGGGCUGUCGUUUGUUAAUAUCACAUCCAAGCCCGAGGGUGAGGCCACUUGCAGUAGGGACUUUGCCCAUGACCCACGUACUCAUACUCGGGAAACUCUGAACAGGUUCCUGCGGUGGCCUUCAUGCCUUAUUUCAGACCACUGCGAUGGCAUGUAAGGCCAAUCUGUGAGCUGUGACCACCCACACAGGGGACAGGUCUCAUGGUCUUUGGGGUCACUGUCAAUAAUGAAACAGGCUGAAGAGCAACAGCACACCCCCAAAAUGUCCCUACCCACUCCUCACCACAGACACACAAAGGUACAGAGGUCUCUUUCAUUCCACAUUUAUUCUUUGCCUUGUUUUGGACUACAUCACACUGGCUCGAUUAAGAGCCACAAAAAGAGCCAUCAAGUGGCUGCAGCCUGCUGGCCAUCCACAAAUAACCAAGGGUCGCUCAAGCAUCAGGAGGACACACAUUUGGACCACUGAGGCUGAAAUCUGGUUGUGGUGUGCAUGUCUGUACCCAAAGGCCACAUUCAGAAGGUGCCAUGAUGAGCUCCAGCACCAUGGGCUGUGGUGAACAGCUGUGUUCACGGGGGCAUUUGUUUUUUCACUGUACGUGGAAUGAAUAAUCCAGAUUUUACUACCAGUUCCAGCCGGUGCUUGACUCAGGCAUAUAAAACCGCUCUGCCAAGUGGCACAGUGCACAGAGCACGCUGCCGGCUAUGCCAGCUCCUGCCCUGCCAGAUGGCACAGAAUCUCCCAUUCUCAAGUGCAAGUGCCCUCCUGCCAUGGCCAUGACACCAAGGCACCUGUACCGCCAGCAUCCAUCCAUCCCAGGCUCCCUCAUCCCCUCUCAUCUGAAAGGGUCAGACAGGAAAGAGAAACAAGAAGCUUAACCAGCACUGAAUUUAUAGCUGGGACCAUGUUCGAGAGCCUGACAAAUGAACCAAGGAAUCCACAAGGCUCCAGACAGUACUGUUUGGAUCCCAAAUGCCCACUGUUUGCUGCCAGGCCGCUACUCAGAUGCUGUAGUAACUGGAAUGAAAUGAGGUUGCUCAGAAGGGAAAGAAUGGCGAAUUCCUCUGGAAAUGAUCAGGACAGAAUCGCAAACAUUCAAAAUAAAGAAGGACGCGCUGGAUGGCCACAUUUUUGUCAGCCUACCAGAUUUCAGAAUACGGGGAUUAGAUUACCAUAGUCCA
Molecule: long non-coding RNA, 2530 nt
Organism: Cavia porcellus (domestic guinea pig)
Lineage: Eukaryota; Metazoa; Chordata; Mammalia; Rodentia; Caviidae
Exons: 2
Source: RefSeq, a predicted model, not a curated record